RNAcentral lists this ribosomal RNA (279 nucleotides) under uncultured bacterium. RNAcentral describes it as "partial 16S ribosomal RNA". It matches the Rfam family "Bacterial small subunit ribosomal RNA", at positions 506 to 784 of the family's 1533-position model. The record is from RNAcentral.
UGCCAGCAGCCGCGGUAAUACGCAGGGUGCUAGCGUUGUUCGGAUUUAUUGGGUUUAAAGGGUGCGCAGGCGGAACUUUAAGUCAGUGGUGAAAUCUUGCCGCUUAACGGUAAAAUUGCCAUUGAAACUGAAGUUCUUGAAUGUAGUUGAGGUAGGCGGAAUGUGUCAUGUGGCGGUGAAAUGCAUAGAGAUGACACAGAACACCGAUUGCGAAGGCAGCUUACUAGACUAUCACUGACGCUGAGGCACGAACGCGUGGGGAGCGAACAGGAUUAGAUA